This 179-nucleotide ribosomal RNA is filed under the name uncultured bacterium. Its description in RNAcentral is "partial 16S ribosomal RNA". It matches the Rfam family "Bacterial small subunit ribosomal RNA", at positions 1314 to 1500 of the family's 1533-position model. The record is from RNAcentral.
GACUCCACGAAGUUGGAUUCGCUAGUAAUCGCGCAUCAGCCAUGGCGCGGUGAAUACGUUCCCGGGCCUUGUACACACCGCCCGUCAAGCCAUGGGAGCCGGGGGCGCCUGAAGUCCGGGACCGCGAGGACCGGCCUAGGGCGAAACUGGUAACUGGGGCUAAGUCGUAACAAGGUAGC